Long non-coding RNA from Actinia tenebrosa (Australian red waratah sea anemone), 353 nucleotides. The record is from RefSeq and is a predicted model, not a curated record. Lineage: Eukaryota; Metazoa; Cnidaria; Anthozoa; Actiniaria; Actiniidae.
GAGUCGUGCAGCUGCAUUCUGAACAUGCUGAAGUUUUUGCGGUUUUUUGGCAAGCCAUACAACAAAGAAUUGCAAAAAUCAAGUCUGGAAGAUAUAAGGCUUCGAUUCUAAGUGAGCAAGGUAGCCAAGACAAUUCGUGUUACAAACGAAUACAACACCAGACACAAGUGCAGUUUUUUAAGAAUGCUGUACCUACAUCGCCUUUAUUCCCCGUUGCUAAUUAUUCAGCGGACAGUAGACAGUCGACUGGUGUCUACGAUAGUAUUUACGAGCAGCCUAUCGACCCAAAAAGUACUGCUUAUUCAAAGCCAGCUGAUGAUACGCAUCCGACAAACGAAUUAUGACACAGUAAA